This 86-nucleotide transfer RNA is filed under the name Macrolepiota fuliginosa MF-IS2. Its description in RNAcentral is "tRNA-Ala". It matches the Rfam family "tRNA". Rfam says of the family: Transfer RNA (tRNA) molecules are approximately 80 nucleotides in length. Their secondary structure includes four short double-helical elements and three loops (D, anti-codon, and T loops). The record is from RNAcentral. Lineage: Eukaryota; Fungi; Basidiomycota; Agaricomycetes; Agaricales; Agaricaceae.
GGGCACAUGGUGUAGUUGGUUAUCACGCCCGCUUAGCAUUUGUCAAUGUUUGCGGGCGGUGCCCGGUUCAAUUCCGGGUGUGUCCA